GGCGGGGUGAGGUGGGAUGAGAAGCGAAGGGAGUUCAGUUAAGCAAGGGAGUUAACUCUCAAUGCUUCCUCUAUUUCCACACAACCUAGGUGGCUGUUAUCAGCUAAUGUUGUGGCGAUCCACUGGUAUUUCUGUCUAUAAAGAUCGAAAAGUCGGUCGAAUAUUAUUUUGACCAGGACCGACUUCUUUAUUUUCCAAGCCUUUAAUAUUUUCAUCCUAGGAUUAUGUAUUGCAACUGUGAUUCUAUACUGCGAUAACAUUCUAAUUGAAAGACUCCAUCCAACAAAAUGUCCAAAUCUGCGGAGUCUGUGAAGGUUGUUGUGAGGUGUCGCCCCAUUAAUGACAAAGAAAUCUCUGAUGGCCAUGAAAGAGUUGUUGACAUGUACCCCAACAGGGGAGUCAUUGAAAUCAGAAACCCAAAAUCUGUUCCUGGGGAUGUGCAUCGGACAUUCACAUUUGAUUCUGUCUAUGACUGGACUUCUAAGCAACGGGAUCUUUAUGAGGAAACAUUUCGUCCUCUUGUACAAUCUGUACUUGAAGGUUUUAAUGGAACAAUAUUUGCUUACGGUCAAACUGGCACUGGAAAGACAUUUACUAUGCAAGGUGUUAAAAACGACCCAGAUAUGCGUGGUGUUAUUCCAAAUUCUUUUGAGCAUAUUUUUCAACACAUUUCACGUUCUGAAAACCAACAGUAUUUAGUGAGAGCUUCAUAUCUCGAAAUAUAUCAGGAAGAAAUUCGAGAUUUACUGUCCAAAGAUCAGUCCAAGCGACUUGAACUAAAAGAACGACCUGAUACUGGUGUGUACGUCAAGGAUUUGUCUUCGUUUGUAACCAAAAGUGCAAAGGAAAUUGAACAUGUGAUGAAUGUUGGUAACCAGAAUCGUGCUGUUGGCGCGACAAACAUGAAUGAGCACAGUUCCCGGUCACAUGCCAUUUUUAUUAUCACUAUAGAAUGCAGUGAGAUGGGUGUUGAUGGUGAGAAUCAUAUUCGUGUUGGUAAACUGAAUCUGGUCGACUUAGCUGGUAGUGAGCGACAAACUAAAACUGGUUCUACGGGAGAACGUUUAAAAGAAGCUACAAAAAUCAAUCUGUCUUUGUCUGCACUUGGUAAUGUUAUAUCAGCUCUCGUUGAUGGCAAAAGCUCCCAUAUUCCAUACCGAGAUUCCAAGCUGACACGACUUUUACAAGAUUCUCUGGGAGGAAAUGCUCGCACUGUCAUGGUUGCAAAUAUUGGCCCAGCCAGCUAUAAUUACGAUGAAUCCAUUACAACACUGAGAUAUGCAAACAGGGCCAAAAACAUCAAGAACAAACCGAAGAUUAAUGAGGAUCCUAAAGAUGCUUUGUUACGUGAAUUCCAAGAGGAAAUUGCAAGGUUAAAAGCCCACCUAGCUGCACGAGGAACUCAUGGCAAAAAGAAGUCCAAAAAACGACUGGACAGUGGCGAGGUAAUGACAGAUGACGAGGAGGAAGAGGAAGUAGAAGGUGACAACAAUGUGGAUGCUGAAGCAUAUAUGCAGGAACAACAACAACGGCUUGAAGAGGAGAAAAAGGCCAUUUUGGGGGACCAAUCUUUAAUAGCUGAGGAAAAAGAAAAGCUGUUGUCUGAACUAAAGGAGAAUGAAUCUCGCUUAUUGAAAGAAAAGGAAGCUAGAGAUAUGUUGGCAUCUAAAAUCAAGGCAAUGGAGAGCAAGUUACUGAUGGGUGGCAAAAACAUUGUUGACCACACUAAUGAACAACAGAGAGCCUUAGAGCAACGAAGGUCAGAAAUUGCUGACCAGAAGCGUAAAGAAAGAGAGAUGCAACAAAAAUUGGAUCAAAAAGAAGAAACAGCUCUGGAAUUACAGGAGACCUAUGCAUCCCUGCAACAAGAGGUUGAAGUAAAAACAAAGAAAUUAAAAAAACUGUUUUCCAAGUUACAAUCCACAAAGCAGGAAAUCCAAGACCUACAGGAAGAACAUGUUAAGGAGAGACAGGAACUGGAGCAGACACAGAUGCAGCUGACGCGGGAACUAAAACUCAAGUUACUAAUCAUAGAAAAUUUCAUUCCGCAUGAGGAGAAGAAUAAAGUCAUGAACCGUGCCUAUUUUGAUGAAGAUGAGGACACUUGGAAACUGCAACCUCUUACUAAAUCCAACACACAGACAAUGGCUAAACGGCCAAUAUCAGCUGUUGGCAACCGGCGACCAGUAGCAGAAUAUGCCCGUCUUGGUUCUAUAACUGGAAACCCUCGAUUUAAGGGUGAAAACAUUCUACAAUUACAACUUGAUAUGCCAACAAGAACCACAUCUGAAUAUGAAGGCCCUGUGGUUGCGCCUAGAGUGCAGGCGGCAUUAGAUGCUGCACUAAAGAUGGAACAAGACAUAGACAUAAUUGAGAGUCCUGCAUUAAACAAGAUGAAAGCUAAGAAAAAAGAGAAAAUAUCAAAAGACAGACCAAAGACUGCUGGAGGAGCUAACAAUAACAAAAAAGGAUCUCAACUAUACCCUACAUCUAGAGGUCUUGUCCCCAAGUAGAUUCCCACAUUAACUGCAUUUGCCUGCAUUCCAGUGCCAUCUUAGCCUGCUGUUUGCUGCCCCUUUAAAAAACAGACUGUUUGACUGUUGUCCCCUUUCACACUGAUACUGCAGUGUAAAUCCUCUGUUUUUUGUUUCCUUUUGUUUGGUUUCUGUUUCUCCAGUCCCCCCCCCCCUAUUUAUUUUGUUUUCCUCAUAUUUAUACAUUUAUUUAUUUUUCAUUUUUCCGCCCAAAAUUCCGAGGAAUGAAAACUAAAGCAAGAAAAGUGACUAUCCAAUGCCCUGCGUACUCCUUCACAACAGCUCCCGCCCCCUUCUACUCCUUUCCUCCAUCCAUUACCAACCCCAACCUCAUAAUAAUGACUGGUUGCAAACGUCCUGUUUAUAAAACUCUUCUGGCUUGCUUUCUUCUCCUCCUGUGCCCUCCUCCCCGUAAAUUCUAUUUAUUGUUCCUAGUGUUGCUGUGCUAGAAUCCAUUGACAUUUCUCCCUUCAACAUAGCUUGCCCACAGCAGCAGCAGCAACAGCGGCGGCGGCAGCAGUCAAUGUAGCUGCUGCACCAAGUGUAGCUUGUAUAUAUAUUACACUUUAUUUAUGACUUAGAGCCUCCUCUGCUGUCCAUUUGUCUUCUAGUCUGGGUGCUGCAUUCUUUAUAUCAUAUUUAUGGCCUGCUACAAUGCUGCUGAAAAAAACUACCAGUAUAACUGUUUAUGUGUGUGCACGAGUGAUUGUAUGUGUGUGCAUAUAUGCAUAUUUUUGCAUUAUGUUCAUUUAAUCUAUUAUCAGCUGUAUGACAACUGCUUUGUAAAAUGCACAAAUAUAUAUAUAUAUAUGUAUAUAUAUAUAUAACCAUACCUAUGUGCAUGGACACCUGCCAUAGCCUGAUUCUAUCCAUCUUUCUCUCUCUCUC
RNAcentral lists this unclassified non-coding RNA (3422 nucleotides) under Octopus sinensis (East Asian common octopus). Its description in RNAcentral is "kinesin-like protein KIF3B, transcript variant X2". The record is from RNAcentral. Lineage: Eukaryota; Metazoa; Mollusca; Cephalopoda; Octopoda; Octopodidae.